GCUGAGGUAGCAAAGGAGGUAAUGCGGGAAGUCUAAGUUUUCUUUAUCGGGGGUUCGAGUCCCCUCUUUGGUU
Molecule: transfer RNA, 73 nt
Filed under: Iconaster longimanus
Lineage: Eukaryota; Metazoa; Echinodermata; Asteroidea; Valvatida; Goniasteridae
Description: tRNA-Leu
Rfam family: tRNA
About the family: Transfer RNA (tRNA) molecules are approximately 80 nucleotides in length. Their secondary structure includes four short double-helical elements and three loops (D, anti-codon, and T loops). Further hydrogen bonds mediate the characteristic L-shaped molecular structure. tRNAs have two regions of fundamental functional importance: the anti-codon, which is responsible for specific mRNA codon recognition, and the 3' end, to which the tRNAs corresponding amino acid is attached (by aminoacyl-tRNA synthetases). tRNAs cope with the degeneracy of the genetic code in two manners: having more than one tRNA (with a specific anti-codon) for a particular amino acid; and 'wobble' base-pairing, i.e. permitting non-standard base-pairing at the 3rd anti-codon position.
Source: RNAcentral